This 497-nucleotide ribosomal RNA is filed under the name uncultured bacterium. RNAcentral describes it as "partial 16S ribosomal RNA". It matches the Rfam family "Bacterial small subunit ribosomal RNA", at positions 28 to 507 of the family's 1533-position model. The record is from RNAcentral.
GAGGAACGCUGGCGGCGUGCCUAAUACAUGCAAGUCGAGCGAACAGACGAGGAGCUUUCUCCUCUGACGUUAUCGGCGGACGGGUGAGUAACACGUGGAUAACCUACCUAUAAGACUGGGAUAACUUCGGGAAACCGGAGCUAAUACCGGAUAAUAUAUUGAACCGCAUGGUUCAAUAGUGAAAGACGGUUUUGCUUUCACUUAUAGAUGGAUCCGCGCCGCAUUAGCUAGUUGGUAAGGUAACGGCUUACCAAGGCAACGAUGCGUAGCCGACCUGAGAGGGUGAUCGGCCACACUGGAACUGAGACACGGUCCAGACUCCUACGGGAGGCAGCAGUAGGGAAUCUUCCGCAAUGGGCGAAAGCUUGACGGAGCAACGCCGCGUGAGUGAUGAAGGUCUUCGGAUCGUAAAACUCUGUUAUUAGGGAAGAACAAAUGUGUAAGUAACUAUGCACGUCUUGACGGUACCUAAUCAGAAAGCCACGGCUAACUACGUG